UGAACCAUAAACUUGUGUUUACUUUUCUCAUUGGGGUCAUAGUCAAAAGGCUGUAGCAUCACAGAAACAUUAAUUGAUGUUCCUGCAUCAAUAAUUCCACUGUUAGGCCUUACACAGUAUCUACGUGGUGCUGUGGUCUUAACUUUGAAGCACACAUUUCUGUCUGUAGGGUUGCCGAGUUUCAGGUUCGUAGUGACAACAUCUGUGAAAGGACCUUUGAAUUUGAGCUCGUGUUGCGGUUCGAGGCUGAGGACCUGCUCCGCUUUCGCCAUGUUCCUCCUCCUCCUCGGCGGUGGC
Molecule: long non-coding RNA, 297 nt
Filed under: Gallus gallus (chicken)
Lineage: Eukaryota; Metazoa; Chordata; Aves; Galliformes; Phasianidae
Source: RNAcentral